This 500-nucleotide ribosomal RNA is filed under the name uncultured bacterium. Its description in RNAcentral is "partial 16S ribosomal RNA". It matches the Rfam family "Bacterial small subunit ribosomal RNA", at positions 899 to 1397 of the family's 1533-position model. The record is from RNAcentral.
ACUCAAAGGAAUUGACGGGGGCCCGCACAAGCGGUGGAGUAUGUGGUUUAAUUCGAUGCAACGCGAAGAACCUUACCAGGGCUUGACAUCCCGGGAAUCCGCCUGAAAGGGGGGAGUGCCCUUCGGGGAGCCCGGAGACAGGUGGUGCAUGGCUGUCGUCAGCUCGUGUCGUGAGAUGUUGGAUUAAGUUCCGCAACGAGCGCAACCCUCGUCGUAUGUUGCCAGCGGUUCGGCCGGGCACUCAUACGAGACUGCUGCAGCAAUGUAGAGGAAGGUGGGGAUGACGUCAAGUCAGCAUGCCCCGUACGCCCUGGGCUACACACAUACUACAAUGCCAGGUGCAGACCGAUGCCAACCCGUGAGGGGGAGCUAAUCGGACAAUGCCUGGCUCAGUGCGGAUCGCAGGCUGCAACUCGCCUGCGUGAAGUCGGAAUCGCUAGUAACCGUCGGUCAGCAGUACGACGGUGAAUACGUUCCCGGGCCUUGUACACACCGCCCGU